UACGUAGGGUGCGAGCGUUGUCCGGAAUUACUGGGCGUAAAGGGCGCGUAGGCGGCCUUCUAAGUCAUGCGUGAAAUCCCUGGGCUCAACCCAGGAACUGCGUCUGAUACUGGAAGGCUUGAAUCCGGGAGAGGGAUGUGGAAUUCCAGGUGUAGCGGUGAAAUGCGUAGAUAUCUGGAGGAACACCGGUGGCGAAGGCGGCAUCCUGGACCGGUAUUGACGCUGAGGCGCGAAAGCCAGGGGAGCAAACGGG
RNAcentral lists this ribosomal RNA (253 nucleotides) under uncultured bacterium. Its description in RNAcentral is "partial 16S ribosomal RNA". It matches the Rfam family "Bacterial small subunit ribosomal RNA", at positions 524 to 776 of the family's 1533-position model. The record is from RNAcentral.